CUGUAGGUUCUAUGUGCCGGUAAGGAUCUGGCGACAGAGCAGACUGGUAGUAGGAUGAUUACUCUGUUGAGGCAGCUUCAGCAAACACUACCACCAGCCACCCUGGCUUCAAUAUGGUCAUCCUUGCAGCCUCAACAGCAGGUAGCACUGCAAUCAAUGCUAUCGUCGUAAUGCUGUGGAAGCUAACAAGCUUUUCUCCAAUACGAUGA
RNAcentral lists this long non-coding RNA (209 nucleotides) under Nicotiana benthamiana. RNAcentral's name for it is "long non-coding RNA (NBEN_LNC000284)". Lineage: Eukaryota; Viridiplantae; Streptophyta; Magnoliopsida; Solanales; Solanaceae. The record is from RNAcentral.